GAGGAAGCCCCGGCUAACUACGUGCCAGCAGCCGCGGUAAUACGUAGGCGGCGAGCGUUAUCCGGAUUUACUGGACGUAAAGAGGGCGUAGGCGGUUUUUCAAGUCGAUUGUAAAAUCUCCCGGCUUAACUGGGAGGGGCCAGUCGAUACUGUUAGACUAGAGGGCAGCAGGGGGAGGUGGAAUUCCCGGUGUAGUGGUGGAAUACAUAGAUAUCGGGAGGAACACCAGUGGCGAANGCGGCCUCCUAGGCUGUUUCUGACGCUGAGGUCCGAAAGCGUGGGGGAGCAAACAGACUUAGAUACUCUGGUAGUCCACGCUGUAAACGAUGGACACUAGNUAUAGGGAGUAUCGACCCUCUCUGUGCCGAAGCUAACGCAUUAAGUGUCCCGCCUGGGGACUACGGCCGCAAGGCUAAAACUCAAAGGAAUUGACGGGGGCCCGCACAAGCAGCGGAGCGUGUGGUUUAAUUCGAUGCAACGCGAAGAACCUUACCAAGGCUUGACAUGUCGGAAGUAGCGACCCGAAAGGGAAGCCACCUGUUGAGUCAGGAACCGUCACAGGUGCUGCAUGGCUGUCGUCAGCUCGUGCUGUGAAGUGUUAGGUUAAGUCCUAUAACGAGCGCAACCCUCAUUGUCAGUUGUUUUCUCUGGCGAGACCGCCCUGCAAAAUGGGGAGGAAGGUGGGGAUGACGUCAAGUCAGCACGGCCCUUAUGCCUUGGGCUACACACACGCUACAAUGGGUGGUACAAUGGGUAGCAAUAGAGCGAUCUGGAGCCAAUCCUAUAAAGCCAUCCUCAGUUCGGAUUGCAGGCUGAAACCCGCCUGCAUGAAGUCGGAGUUGCUAGUAACCGCAGGUCAGCAUACUGCGGUGAAUACGUUCUCGGGCCUUGUACACACCGCCCGUCACGUCAUGAAAGUUGGCAACACCUGAAGUCGAUGGGCUAACCCCGACUUGUCGGGGGGGUAGUCGCCGAGGGUGGGGUUAAUGAUUGGGACGAAGUCGUAACAAGGUAACCUUAAUUAAAA
This 1027-nucleotide ribosomal RNA is filed under the name uncultured bacterium. Its description in RNAcentral is "bacterial SSU rRNA". It matches the Rfam family "Bacterial small subunit ribosomal RNA", at positions 484 to 1511 of the family's 1533-position model. The record is from RNAcentral.